Molecule: unclassified non-coding RNA, 338 nt
Filed under: soil metagenome
Description: partial contains 5.8S ribosomal RNA, internal transcribed spacer 2, and large subunit ribosomal RNA
Rfam family: 5.8S ribosomal RNA (bases 1-120)
Source: RNAcentral
GAUGAAGAACGCAGUGAAAUGCGAUAAUUAAUGUGAAUUGCAGAAUUCAGUGAAUCAUCGAAUCUUUGAACGCACAUUGCGCCCUUUGGUAUUCCUUAGGGCAUGCCUGUUCGAGCGUCAUUUGAAACCUCAAGCUCAGCUUGGUGUUGGGUGUCUGUCCCCGCCUCACCGCGGGGACUCGCCUCAAAAUCAUUGGCGGCCGGUACGUUGGCUUCGAGCGCAGCAGAAACGCGAACUCGAGGCCCGGCGGAUCGGCGACCAGAAGUCACUUCUUCACAGUUUGACCUCGGAUCAGGUAGGGAUACCCGCUGAACUUAAGCAUAUCAAUAAGCGGAGGA